AACGCAUUUUGCGCUCUCUGGUAUUCCGGGGAGCAUGCUUGACUGAGGGUCGGUAAAACAAAUCAUCGAGACUAAUCUUGAUGGUCGAUGGGUGUCAAUCCGGUUAGCCUCUCUGGGGAUAAAACCGGUCACCUGAAAUAAUAGGCUCCGCGCCGUUUAGCGGACUCGUGCAGUAACUCUGCUCUAAGCAAUGACUACGCGAUAGGCGACGGAAAGCGAGAAGCCACGUUUUGGUUUUUUUUCUAAAAAGCCAAAUGCGUCUCUGGCGCACAUUGUAUUCUCGACCUCAGAUUAAGCAAGACCACCCGCUGAACUUAA
This 318-nucleotide unclassified non-coding RNA is filed under the name uncultured fungus. Its description in RNAcentral is "partial contains 5.8S ribosomal RNA, internal transcribed spacer 2, and large subunit ribosomal RNA". Lineage: Eukaryota; Fungi. The record is from RNAcentral.